CACAGAGCAAAGAUUUCUGCAUGUGGACGUAGGCAGAGCUCGCACUUACGCAUUUAUAAUCCAAAGAAGGCCAAGGGUAACUGGUAACUCUCAGAAGCAGAAAAAGAAGCUUGGGACGGACUCCCCUUCAGAGCUCUGUAGGGACCAAUUUUGCUGAUGCUGUCUCUUCCAGAUCCUUCAAGAUUGGAAAAAGAAGGUGAUGAGCAUUUUUAAACUCAGUUCACUGAGCACUGAGCAAUUGCUUAAGGGAAGGUCAAAGAACAGAAAAAAAUAUUUGAAGAAAAGAAGAAAAGAUCUAACCUUCAUUAUACAGGAUUGCACAGAUUGCCUUUUGUGAUAAAAAGAGGAAGAAAAAUGGCAGCAACCCAGAUUAUUAUUAUACUUAAAUGGUCUCUCACACUUUAUGAAGAUCUUUGUGUAAAAGUAUUAAGCAGUCCAUUUAACAGAGAAGUAUGUUUGUUUCACAUGUAUCAGAAAAUGUGAGUCUUAAUUAAAAUAGAUCCUGACGUCAAAUGCUAUUGAUGAGCAGUUAUUAUUCUAUAUGCUAUAUUUUAUAUCAGUGUAAUGUGUAUGAAGUUUUAAAAGACCUUCUAGGUUUCUGCCAGAUAGUGAUACAGUGAUAAAAUAUCAGCAGUUCAAAAAAAAAAGAAUGAAAGGUUUAUAUGAAUGAUGACACUGAAAAAAAAAAACAGACCCUCAGAACUAAGGUAUCUCUUGAUAAAUAAAGCUGUUAGAUGUUAUGUGGCAAUAUCAGAUGUCAGGAGACAGAAAGAAAGUAUUAGUUGCUUCCAAGGGAUCUGAUAUAAUGAAUAUAGUAAUUAGGUAGAUUGAUCACGGUCCCUCGGUUAUAGAAUCAAGUUGAUAAGACUCUACUAGUGAGUGGAAGUUGGUGGGGUCAAGAUUUGUUAAGAAAAUCUUAUGUAUUGUUUAGCAAACUAUAUGUAGAAGAAACUACUAGAGACAUAGAGAAUUACACAAUGUUUAUAGGUAGACAUAAAACUGAAUAAAACUUCAUGUAAUGGUUGUUAUAUAUGCUACUUAGUUUUUCACCAACUUAUUUCUUUUAAUAUUUCAUAAAAAUUAUGUUUUUAAAAUUAAUUUAUAUUCAUAUACAUAGUUCUAGUUUAGUCACAAUGUUUCAGAGUGCAUACAUAUGAAGUAAAAUAUAAAGAAUGUAAAGGGGUGAUAAAUAUAAAUUCAGAAAUGUAAAUAUCUCUAUGUGGAAGAAGAAUACAAUCAGUAAAAUAUGUAGGAAUGAUUCAACUCUGUUUUAAGCUUUAUUUGUUAAUAGUGGAGACAGAAUUUUUUGUAUUCUUUAUUCAUUUUAUAUUCUUGAAAUAGUUCAAAAUAAAUUUAAGUUUUCUCCAAAA
This 1370-nucleotide long non-coding RNA is filed under the name Homo sapiens (human). RNAcentral describes it as "HSALNT0078133". The record is from RNAcentral. Lineage: Eukaryota; Metazoa; Chordata; Mammalia; Primates; Hominidae.